UUGAAGCCACCACACUGGCCCUGAUCCUUGUUCCAAAUAUCAGAAGCCUUCAGUGUACUGAGUGGAAUAUUGCAUACUGCCCAGUCUGUGAAGAGGAAAGAUUUAAACAUAAACGGCGCAUCUGA
RNAcentral lists this long non-coding RNA (125 nucleotides) under Ursus maritimus (polar bear). Its description in RNAcentral is "lncRNA (ENSUMAG00000019123.1)". Lineage: Eukaryota; Metazoa; Chordata; Mammalia; Carnivora; Ursidae. The record is from RNAcentral.